This 104-nucleotide non-coding RNA is filed under the name unclassified sequences. RNAcentral describes it as "RT-5 RNA". It matches the Rfam family "RT-5 RNA". From Rfam's summary of the family: Clostridium (Firmicutes). The record is from Rfam by way of RNAcentral.
UUGCGCCUGCGGAGGAUGCAGCGUCGUCUAUCUUGAAGGCCUUGCAGGCGGCCGGAUGGCGUACCGUCCCGUGAACCGCAAUUUUGCGGAUUCAAAACCACUCC